GACGAACGCUGGCGGCGUGCCUAAUACAUGCAAGUAGGACGCAGUUGCGAACGGGUGAGUAACGCGUAGGUAACUACCUAUUAGAGGGGGAUAACUCUUGGAAACGAUAGCUAAUACCGCAUACUAGUAGAUGGACCUGCGUUGUAUUAGCUAGUAGGUAGGGUAAUGGCCUACCUAGGCAAAGAUACAUAGACGAACUGAGAGGGGGAUCCGCCACAAUGGGACUGAGACACGGGCCAGACCCCUACGGGAGGCAGCAGGAGGGAAUCGUCGGCAAUGGGGGGAACGCUGACCGAGCAACGCCGCGUGAGUGAAGAAGGUUUUCGGAUCGUAAAGCUCUGUUGUUAAGGAAGCGGUACUUAACCAGAAAGGGACGGCUAACUACGUGCCAGCCGCCGCGGUAAUUC
This 407-nucleotide ribosomal RNA is filed under the name uncultured bacterium. RNAcentral's name for it is "partial 16S ribosomal RNA". It matches the Rfam family "Bacterial small subunit ribosomal RNA", at positions 28 to 526 of the family's 1533-position model. The record is from RNAcentral.